UAACCUGGUUGAUCCUGCCAGUAGUCAUAUGCUUGUCUCAAAGACUAAGCCAUGCACGUCUAAGUACAAACUAAAUGAUGGUGAAACUGCAAAUGGCUCAUUACAACGGUUAUGAUGUACCCGGGAGUUCCGAUGGAUAUUUCCAGUAACACUAGAACUAAUACAUGUCCCUGCGUUUAUUAGUUUCGCACAGUCCGUCGCUGAGUCAUGGUAAACAGUUGAUCGACUCGACGUCCCGGAACAGUUUCCGCCCCAUCAGCUUCGAUGGUUGGGUAUUGGCCUACCAUUGCAACAACGGGUAACGAGGAAUUAGGGUUUGAUUUCGGAGAGGGAGCCUGAGAAACGGCUACCACAUCUACGGAUGGCAGCAGGCGCGCAAAUUACCCAAUGCAGACACUGUGAGGUAGUGACGAGAAAUAAUAAAGCGGGACUUCUGUUUCGCUAUUAUAAUGAGGAAUAACCAAAGGUCAUUCCGAUUAGCAACUGAUGGGAAAGUCUGGUGCCAGCAGCCGCGGUAAUACCAGCGUCAGUAGCAUAUAUUAAAAUUGUUGCAGUUAAAACGUCCGUAGUCUGUACGUCGUCCCAAACUCACUGCAGUCUUCCGUUUUCUUAAUUGAAUGCGGUAGUUUCUGCAGUCACUCCCUUGAUCAAAUUAGGUUGUUCAAGGUAGACCAAGUCUUCAUAUUUUCACAUGGAAUUGGGUGAGGGAACUUAAGAGUUUAAGUUUCUCGUCUUAGGAUCAUCCGGGGUCAUUCGUACUCGUCCGCGAGAGGUGAAAUUCUUGGACCGGACGAAGACGACCAGCAGCGAAAGCAUCUGUCAGGGAUGUUUUCUGCGACAAAGGACGAAGGUCAGGGUAUCGAAGACGAUUAGAUACCGUCGUAGUCCUGACUGUAAACUAUGCCAACUUGGGUCUUGCUGGGCGAUGCUUUGUGAGACCCACACAGAAAUGAAAGUGUAUGGGUUCUGGGGGUAGUAUGGACACAAGUCUGAAACUUGAAGGAAUUGACGGAAGAGCACCAUAAGACGUGGAGCUUGCGGCUUAAUUUGACUCAACGCGGGAAAACUUACCAGGUCAAGACAUGGGCGUGAUUGACAGGCUAAUGACUUUUCUCGAUUCCAUGGAUGGUGGUGCAUGGUCGCACUUAGUUGGUGCAGUGAUUUGUCAGGUUUAUUCCGGUAACGAACGAGACCUCAACCU
Molecule: ribosomal RNA, 1201 nt
Filed under: uncultured marine eukaryote
Lineage: Eukaryota
Description: bacterial SSU rRNA
Rfam family: Eukaryotic small subunit ribosomal RNA
Source: RNAcentral